This 770-nucleotide ribosomal RNA is filed under the name uncultured Neocallimastigales. RNAcentral describes it as "partial large subunit ribosomal RNA". The stretch from base 3 to 660 matches the Rfam family "Eukaryotic large subunit ribosomal RNA", at positions 24 to 664 of the family's 3401-position model. The record is from RNAcentral. Lineage: Eukaryota; Fungi; Neocallimastigomycota; Neocallimastigomycetes; Neocallimastigales.
UACACGCUGUGACUAGCAUAUCAAUAAGCGGAGGAAAAGAAACUAACAAGGAUUCCCUCAGUAACGGCGAGUGAAGCGGGAAGAGCUCAAAUUUGAAAUCUUGAAAGGUCACCUUUCACGAAUUGUAGUUUAAAGAAGUGUUUUCUGUUACGAUCGUAAUAUAAGUUCUUUGGAAUAGGACAUCACAGAGGGUGAGAAUCCCGUCUAUGAUUGCGAUUUGUAGCUUUGUGAUACACUUUCAAAGAGUCGGGUUGUUUGGGAAUGCAGCCCAAAACGGGAGGUAAAUUUCUUCUAAGGCUAAAUAUUGGCGAGAGACCGAUAGCGAACAAGUACCGUGAGGGAAAGAUGAAAAGAACUUUGAAAAGAGAGUUAAAUAGUACGUGAAAUUGUCAAAAGGGAAGCGUUUAACACCAGUGUUGUCUUCUGAAAAUCAACCUCUGUUAGCUUUAUGCAUGUUUGUUUAGACCUAAUCAGCUAUCUUGCAUGUUCUAUUGUUUGCAGUGGUGCACUUUUCAGUUUACAGGUCAACAUCAGUUUUUUUUACCGUAAAAAAGUUAAAGAAAGGUAGCUCAUGGCUCCGGUCGUAAGUGUUAUAGUCUUUUUCCUAUGCGGUAGGAGAGACUGAGGUCUGCAGUGUAGGCUAUUUGGCUAGAUACUCAGGUGCUAUGUGAUACCAUUUCAUAAACAACUUGUUGAUUAUGUUUUGUCUAUUGCAUACUCGCUUGUACUAUCAUACCUACGCUUAGGAUGUUGACGCAUGAGAUAUACGC